RNAcentral lists this long non-coding RNA (1116 nucleotides) under Carassius auratus (goldfish). RNAcentral describes it as "lncRNA (ENSCARG00000044188.1)". Lineage: Eukaryota; Metazoa; Chordata; Actinopteri; Cypriniformes; Cyprinidae. The record is from RNAcentral.
AUGCAAAAACUGCAUCAUGAUCAGAGGCAGCUGGACCUGUUCUUUGGUCUCCUCGGUGGGGUCAUGAUUGUAACCUCUGACCACAGGCCAGGAGAAACCAUGAACCUCACCGUGGAGGAAUUUCAUUCCUUUAAAGAGGGCAGAGAUGGCCAUGACAUUUGUGUGAGGGUUGUAGUAGUCAUUGUUUUGUUUGCAUUUGUCUGUUUAUAUAUAUAUAGUCGUACACUUAUUCAUAAUUAUCUUACUUCACAGGUAAAAAAGCACAAAACAUGUGCAACAUUCGGUCAUGUGAUACUCUCCAUCACAAAGGGGGAGUAUAAUUGCAUGUCCGAAUUUCUAAAAAUCCGUGGAAGCUUUGAGGGGAGCCAGUCAGCCCUCUUCUUUUUUAAUUCGAAGGGUGAGGUGUUCAAGGGCCUCCUCAAAGCUUUCACUGCUGCAUGGGAGUUUGUGGGCCUCCCAAAACCGGCCCCAACUUUCAUGGCCUUGAGGACCUCUAUGUCCACUCAGGUAAGUGUACAUUUUGAUACACACACACACACACACUCUCUCUCUCUGUCAUACAUUCUCUCAAACACACACACACACUUUCUCACACACUCAUGCAUGUUUCUGUGAAUUGUGGGGACUUUCCAUAGUCUUCUGUUGUUUUGAUACUGACCAAACACCAUUUUUAUCCCAUAACCCAAUCCUUACAGAAAACCUGUUUGCAUUGUUACAUUUUCAGAUAAACAUCAAAUAAUAUUUUAUUUUAAUUUUUCCCUCAUGGGGACUAAAGGCUGGACCCCACACAAUUUCAAAAGUUUCAGGUUUUAUUAUACUUAAGGAGACAAUGUGUUCAUCUUAAUGUGGUAUAAACAAGUGUGUGCAACACAUGCUUUGUCCUUCUCUCUCUCCCCCCUUCUCUCUCUCUCUUACAUACACACACUUUCUCUUUCUCUCUCUCGCUUUUAACUCACACACACGUUUAGGUGCUUUUUUGGCAUUACAAAUAUUUGUACAUUCGCAUUUAUUUGCAUAAAGUAGAAGUAAAUAAAAGUAAUACAGUAAACGGUAAGUAACACGCUAAAAUAAAAAGCAUUAGUAAAGUGUGCAGGAGAUGGACUGGGGGUCACUUAU